CCUACGGGUGGCAGCAGUGAGGAAUAUUGGUCAAUGGGCGAGAGCCUGAACCAGCCAAGUCGCGUGAGGGAGUACUGCCCUAUGGGUUGUAAACCUCUUUUGUCGGGGAGCAAAAGCCGGACGUGUCCGGCUGUGAGCGUACCCGAAGAAAAAGCAUCGGCUAACUCCGUGCCAGCAGCCGCGGUAAUUCGGAGGAUGCGAGCGUUAUCCGGUUUUGUUGGGUUUAAAGGGUGCGCAGGCGGAUUUUUAAGUCAGCGGUAAAAUCGUGGGGCUCAACCCCAUCCAGCGGUUGAAACUGGGGAUCUAGAGUGUGCGAGAGGUAUGCGGAAUGCGUGGUGUAGCGGUGAAAUGCAUAGAUAUCACGCAGAACCCCGAUUGCGAAGGCAGCAUACCGGUGCACAACUGACGCUCAGGCACGAAAGCGUGGGUAUCGAACAGGAUUAGAUACCCCGGUAGUC
This 458-nucleotide ribosomal RNA is filed under the name uncultured bacterium. RNAcentral describes it as "partial 16S ribosomal RNA". It matches the Rfam family "Bacterial small subunit ribosomal RNA", at positions 338 to 795 of the family's 1533-position model. The record is from RNAcentral.